RNAcentral lists this ribosomal RNA (240 nucleotides) under uncultured bacterium. RNAcentral's name for it is "partial 16S ribosomal RNA". It matches the Rfam family "Bacterial small subunit ribosomal RNA", at positions 15 to 244 of the family's 1533-position model. The record is from RNAcentral.
GAUUCUGGCUCAGGAUGAACGCUAGCUACAGGCUUAACACAUGCAAGUCGAGGGGAAACGACAUCGAAAGCUUGCUUUUGAUGGGCGUCGACCGGCGCACGGGUGAGUAACGCGUAUCCAACCUGCCCACCACUUGGGGAUAACCUUGCGAAAGUAAGACUAAUACCCAAUGAUAUCUCUAGAAGACAUCUGAAAGAAAUUAAAGAUUUAUCGGUGAUGGAUGGGGAUGCGUCUGAUUAG